Molecule: long non-coding RNA, 1004 nt
Filed under: Struthio camelus australis
Lineage: Eukaryota; Metazoa; Chordata; Aves; Struthioniformes; Struthionidae
Description: lncRNA (ENSSCUG00000005332.1)
Source: RNAcentral
AAUUAGUACCGUGGAGUGAUGCGUUUUACAGGAAUGACGUGCUUCCCCUCGCGGCACUUGGCCCUGGGCCCGUCGGUGCCAGAAUCCCAGCGCAGCCGACCCUCCCGGGUCCCAGGCGCUGCCGCAGGAGCCUCCUGCCCAGCUCGGCUGCCCAGCCCUGGGCGUCUCUGGUGCAGCCCACGAGGGCCAUGACAGCCACGGCCCGCCCAGCGGCCCCUCAGCUCCUCUGCUGCUGACCUCUUCCUCCUGACCCCCAAAACACUGCUAAUUCCAGUCUCGCCUAGAAAUGACAGACGAUGCCUGGAAACGACCGGUACCUUGGAGCAGGGCCUGCUGUACCAUGAGCCUGCUCCCAGCCAGGCCUCAACCCUUGUUGCAGGAGGGCUCCCCACUGCCGAGAGCGUGGCCGUCCCUCCCUCCCUCCCUCCCCUCUGCCGCAGCCCACGCGCGCAAACCCACCAGGACGCCACGGCCGGCGCCGGUGGCCUCACGUACAGGGGCAGUGCGGAGAAAACACGGGUGGCUGGAGACCAGCAAAAGGGUGGAGAGAGGAGAAACCCCAAACACCCAGGCCUGGAGAAAGGAGCAGGGCACAAGAUGGAGGCGGGGAAGGAAAUAACUGCAAUUUCAGAAAAAAACACUACAGAGGAGCCAUAUGUGGAGCCUCUGGGUACCCACGGGGUGGAGAAGGAAGGAUUCCAACCCAAUAGUGCCAAACGGCUGGUUUUUAUUUUUAGUUAUGAUAGGAGAGGUGUCUGGAGGAACAGGGACACCCCAAAAUUGUCUUACCCUCCCCGUUUUCUCUCUCUAGUUACUGCUUGCUUUGCUGUGCUUUCUGUCUUCAUGUAUUUUGAUUUCUGUCUGAGUACUGGGAAUAAAACACACCUCAUGUUCGUUGAGCCAGGCCUACCUUGUUUAUGAGCCUACCUGCUUAUGGUGUGAUGAAGAUAUAUGUAGCUGGAGUUUCAGCGGGUAUUAAUUACUACCAAUAAAAAUGAGUCAUG